This is a long non-coding RNA of Canis lupus familiaris (dog), 2151 nucleotides long. RefSeq lists it as uncharacterized. The transcript is spliced from 3 exons. The record is from RefSeq and is a predicted model, not a curated record. NCBI's taxonomy places the organism in Eukaryota, Metazoa, Chordata, Mammalia, Carnivora, Canidae.
UACACUUGGACCCAAGCUGGAGCUUGUAAAUAAACCCUAGUGUGUUUGCAUCGGUGUCGGCUCCUUGGUGGUUUCUCGGAUUCGCAAUCUUGGGCACAACAUUUGGGGGCUCGUCCGGGAUCCGAGAGACCCCAGGACCCUAUCCGGAGGGUUUCACGCGUGGUCGGCAUUGGCUUAGGCGGACGCGCUGGCGGGCUGUCGACCCGGGAUCUUGAGGAGACGUCCCUUGCCCCCACCGGGAGGACGGGGUCCUCACCUGUUAAGGCCGUGAUCUUCAGGGACAAACCAGACGGCCACCCUGACCAGGUGCCCAACAUCCUGGUCUGGCAGGACAUGACCGGAAAUUCCCCUCCUUGGCUAAAACUCUUUUUUACCCCCGAAAGCGCACAACUCGGCUGAAGGUAAGGAGAGACCCCGGGUCCACCGCCGGACUCUAGGGCAGGUCUCCAGGCUGCCGCCCGCAGCCGACCAAUCUGGCCGAGGUAUAUGAUGUGAGACAGGGUAAGGACGAGAGUCCAGCAGCCUUCUUAGAGAGAGUCAUAGAGGCUUUUAGGCAGUACACCCCUAUGAACCCAGAAGCCCCGGAAACAAAGACCGCAAUUAUCAUGGCUUUUGUUAACCAGGCUGCUCCGGACAUUAAAAAGAAAUUGCAAAGAGUAGAGACACUGGAAGAGAAGAGCUUGCAGGACGUAGUGAUAGUAGCAGAAUGAGUCUAUAAUAAUAUAAUAAAGAAAGUCCGGAAGAACAACAAACCAAACUAAGUGACCGGCAGACCCGAAACCUGGCCAUGGUCCUGCUGGCCACAACCAUGGACAACCCACGGGAAAGACGGUGGCACCUCAAGAAGCUGGCUUCAGGGACAGGUAAGGAGGAUGGCCCUGGUCCCCCUCAGGAGCGCCCUAAGCUGAACAAAAACCAAUGUGCUUAUUGCAAAGAAGAGGGCCACUGGGUAAAAAGCUGCCCUAACAAAAGAUCUAAGGCCCCUGCCAAGAUCUUGAAAAUGGAGGACCUGGACGACUAGGGGAGUCGGAAUUCAGCACCCCUCCCCGAGCCCAGGGUAACUCUUAAAGUGGAGGGGCAGCCUGUUGAAUUCCUAGUGGACACUGGGGCACAACAUUCGGUUUUAUUACAACCCCAAGGGAAAUUGGCAAACAAGACUUCAUGGGUGCAAGGGGCCACGGGCACCAAACAGUACUCAUGGACUACCCGAAGAACUGGGAAUCUCGGCAUGGGCCAGGUAUCCCACUCCUUCAUGGUCAUCGCUGAGUGUCCCUACGUUGUUAGGUCGGGAUUUGCUCACCAAGAUGGGGGCACAAAUUUGUUUCCACCCCGAAGGGGCAAAAAUCCUAAACAAGGAGGGGCACCCGAUUCAGGUGCUUUUCCUGAGUUCAGAAGACAAAUAUUGUCUCCUCUAAACGCCCUCAGUCCCAAUGACUGACAUGGACUGUUGGCUGCCGGAAUUUCCCGAAGCGUGGGCAGAACCUGAGGGAAUUGGGCUGGCCCGGCACCCACCGGCCAUAACUAAAGCCGGGGGCCGACCAUGUCAGGGUGCGCCAAUACCCCAUGCCUCUCAUCUCCCUAACCCAGACUGGGACCCCCGUCUGCAUGACUGUCAAGAAAUUUUGGCACAGGUGCAUGGAAUCAGAGCUGAUCUCCAGGACCAGCCACUGUAGAAUGCGGACACCACCUGGUACACAGAAGGCAGCCGUUCCAUCUGAGAAGGAAUCGGAUGCGGGGGCUGUAACCAUGGAAACGGAGACCCGAUCGGGGGGCACCGACCCUGCCGGACACCCCCAACUAUACUGAUGCUGAUUUACACUGGAUCAAAUGCUUGCCCAUGACCCAGUGCUUGCGUGGCUGGUGGAGGGCCGCAGACUCCAGCAUCAUCCUGCCAGAGGAAGUAGGAUGGCGAGUCCUAUCCAGAAUGCAUUGAAGUACUCACAUGGGAACAAGGAAGAUGAAAGACCUCAUACGACAUGCAAAGAUCACUAUUAAAGACUCUGGAGCAAAGAUGGAGCAGAUUGUGGCGAGCUGCCACCCAUGCCAGUUAACUAAUGCCACCGCCCAUGGAUCUAACCCUGCUCCGAGGUGACCGCCCAGGAGCCUACUGGGAAGUGGACUUCACUGAGGUAAAACCUGGAAAAUAUGGAU